Cervus hanglu yarkandensis (Yarkand deer) is the source of this 1665-nucleotide long non-coding RNA. Lineage: Eukaryota; Metazoa; Chordata; Mammalia; Artiodactyla; Cervidae. The record is from Ensembl.
AUGCCUAACAUUCCACGCGACCCGAUCCGACUUAUAUUUAUUAAGCACCCACUGUCUACACCGCAUCACGGCAAGAAGCACUGCAGGAAGAAAUGGCCCCACUCCGGAAAAACCAAAAGGACAGCCGCAGGGACUAAGGACGAACCCAGGAGAGGGGUUAGCUGCCUGCGGAGAGGUGGUCUGGAGAGGAGCCCUCACCCUCACGUCGCGGGUCGAGAUAGUCCCAGGGAAGAAAUGGCCCCGAGGGGCGCGCCAGGCCCGGCCUCCCCGGACUCCGCCUCAGACCGGGCUGGAAGGGAAAAGAUAUGAAAACUGAACUGAGAUUAAGAAACAGCUACUAAACACCGGGGUCCUUGGAAGCCAUAUGCUGCACUGGACUAGGAACCUAGUACACCAAAAUUAAAAGUCUGGAAACCUGAAUUCCAGUCCAUUCACAAUUUGCAGACAGGUAAUAUUGCACAAAUAACAUUUGUUGAACACCGUAAAUCAAGUCUGCUAUUUUUUAACCUGAAAAAUGAGGGUGACAUACCAGCUUUGCUAAUUUUGAGAAUUUUUGAACAUUAAAGGAGGUAAUGUACAAUGUCAAAACACUUCAAAAGCUGUAAAGCAUUGUGUGAAUGUAUUAAUAUUAAGCACUUUAGUUUUGGAAAUUGAGCCUACUAGAAAAUCAACUGGAUUCAUGUCACAGAAGACAAUGUUGUGUCCUUAUUAUACGGAAAUACCUCUAUUGUAAAUUAUAAUAAAAAUUAAAAUUUUAGCCAUAUAGUAGGUUAAUUUAUUUGGGUGAAAUUAAAAAUGCCAGUUGUAAUAAGAUGGAGUUUGUAUACUGGAUACAUAGAUUUUCCUUGAAGCUUAUGUAAACUACUGUUCACCUCAGAGACAAUACUAGUAAAUUUUUUAAAUAUGUAUAAUGCAACAAAUUGAUAAAUAGAUACACUACUAAAUAAUAUAGUCUAAUUUUAAAUAUAUUGAAGUCCAUUAGACUUUUGAAAAUAUAAAGUAUUAAAUAACUAAUACUCAUUAAUGUUUCUAUUUAUCAUUAUCACAUACAUGUCUGUUACUUAUACAGGUACAAUACAAACAAACCAAUAACUAGAUGUUUAGAUGAUUUUUUUAAGUGUUACAGUGACUAUGAUAGUGAGUACCUAAUAAAAUUUGAAAUCCUGGUAGCUGUUCUCUGUGUCCUGUGUUCUGAAGCUCAGAUCAAUUUUUCUCUUACGAGGAUUAUUAUAGAAGUCUCCUAAUGAUCUCCCUGCUUCCAAUGCAUUCUCCACCCAUCCUGUACCCCUGCCACCCAUCUUCUGUACUGCAAGUCAAAAUUAUCCUCCUAAAAUAAGAACUGGAUCGUGAUUCCACCCAACUGAAACACCUCACUAAUUUCCCAUCAUUAUCAAAGCUUUUCAGUCUGAGUUGAAAUGGCCAAAAAGAAUACAGGGACCAAGGAUGUGGGGAUAGACACUGAAGUGAGUCAAACCUCUGUAUAAGCUAAAUAGUCAAUCAGUUUGGAUACCAUUAUGUCUUAAUAUAAGAAAGACCUAAAAUUACCACUUAAAAUAUUUAAUUUUCCUUUUAAAAUAUUUGAAUAAAAUUAAAGUUUGGGGGAGAGUCAUUUUUUUCCCUAGGACUCCUGUUCUGUGUGUGUUUCUUAAGGUGGGGUACUGGGGG